GUGCUUGCUUUGGUAGCACAUAUACUAAAAUUGGAAUGAUGCAGAGAAGAUUAGCAUGGCUCUUGCACAAGAAUGACACACAAGUUCAUGAAGCAUAUUUUU
This is a small nuclear RNA of Dipodomys spectabilis (banner-tailed kangaroo rat), 102 nucleotides long. Lineage: Eukaryota; Metazoa; Chordata; Mammalia; Rodentia; Heteromyidae. The record is from RefSeq and is a predicted model, not a curated record.